Molecule: ribosomal RNA, 447 nt
Filed under: uncultured bacterium
Lineage: Bacteria
Description: partial 16S ribosomal RNA
Rfam family: Bacterial small subunit ribosomal RNA
Source: RNAcentral
AACGAACGCUGGCGGCAGGCUUAACACAUGCAAGUCGAACGCCCCGCAAGGGGAGUGGCAGACGGGUGAGUAACGCGUGGGAAUCUACCCAUCUCUGCGGAAUAGCUCUGGGAAACUGGAAUUAAUACCGCAUACGCCCUACGGGGGAAAGAUUUAUCGGGGAUGCAUGAGCCCGCGUUGGAUUAGCUAGUUGGUGGGGUAAAGGCCUACCAAGGCGACGAUCCAUAGCUGGUCUGAGAGGAUGAUCAGCCACAUUGGGACUGAGACACGGCCCAAACUCCUGCGGGGGGCAGCAGUGGGGAAUAUUGGACAAUGGGCGCAAGCCUGAUCCAGCCAUGCCGCGUGAGUGAUGAAGGCCUUAGGGUUGUAAAGCUCUUUCACCGAUGAAGAUAAUGACGGUAGUCGGAGAAGAAGCCCCGGCUAACUUCGUGCCAGCCGCCGCCGUAA